This is a long non-coding RNA of Oncorhynchus nerka (sockeye salmon), 504 nucleotides long. RefSeq lists it as uncharacterized. NCBI's taxonomy places the organism in Eukaryota, Metazoa, Chordata, Actinopteri, Salmoniformes, Salmonidae. The record is from RefSeq and is a predicted model, not a curated record. The transcript is spliced from 2 exons.
UAGUGAUUGCAGUGCUAGUUAAAACUGCAGUAGGAUAGUCCUCCUCACAGGCGACUGAAUCAGCGAAGACCAUGCUUGGUGAAUAGCACUUGUUUGAUCUUUGGGAGUAGGUCACAUGAGAGGAGAGCUGAAUUGCUCAUGGGAGAUAAAGAUAUGUGAUGAUGUACCAUAUCUCCAAGAGGGCAGGCUUCCUCUCCUCCUCAUUCAUCUCUACCAACUUCAUCACAUCCGAGUCUCCUACUCACUGGAUAUUCAGGAACACUGCCUUUCCCUGCCAACUUAAUAUUAACUUUACACUAAAAAACGAAUAGAUAAUUAUACUGUUCGUAAUAAAGAAAAAUUAUCAGCAGCAGUAAAGGACUGUGAAACCUGAAAUACAUUGAAAUGUUUAAGAUUUUAUUUUCUAACAAAACCGUCUCAGUAUCAUUUUACAAAAAUAUUUUCUGCUUCGACACAACAGGCCAACAUGACAAAGUUGUUCACCGGAUCACAUUACUGAAAGAA